Molecule: non-coding RNA, 85 nt
Filed under: Vibrio sp.
Lineage: Bacteria; Pseudomonadati; Pseudomonadota; Gammaproteobacteria; Vibrionales; Vibrionaceae
Description: c-di-GMP sequence
Rfam family: c-di-GMP-I riboswitch aptamer
About the family: GEMM was predicted in a large-scale screen for bacterial structured RNA regulatory elements. Genes associated with GEMM are involved in a diverse array of functions, including chemotaxis regulation, signal transduction, secretion and chitin.
Source: RNAcentral
CUUUUUAACUGCCAAACCCAGUGCGAGCUGGGGACGGAAAGCCACGGGUCUCGCAAGGAACUGCAGAGACAGCCGGGUUGCACAG